RNAcentral lists this ribosomal RNA (492 nucleotides) under uncultured bacterium. Its description in RNAcentral is "partial 16S ribosomal RNA". It matches the Rfam family "Bacterial small subunit ribosomal RNA", at positions 30 to 507 of the family's 1533-position model. The record is from RNAcentral.
AUUGAACGCUGGCGGCAUGCUUUACACAUGCAAGUCGAACGGUAACAGGCCUUCGGGUGCUGACGAGUGGCGAACGGGUGAGUAAUGCAUCGGAACGUGCCCAGAGGUGGGGGAUAACGCAGCGAAAGCUGUGCUAAUACCGCAUGUGAUCUGAGGAUGAAAGCGGGGGACCAGGCAGCAAUGUUUGGCCUCGCGCCUUUGGAGCGGCCGAUGUCAGAUUAGGUAGUUGGUGGGGUAAAGGCCUACCAAGCCGACGAUCUGUAGCUGGUCUGAGAGGACGACCAGCCACACUGGGACUGAGACACGGCCCAGACUCCUACGGGAGGCAGCAGUGGGGAAUUUUGGACAAUGGGCGCAAGCCUGAUCCAGCAAUGCCGCGUGAGGGAAGAAGGCCUUCGGGUUGUAAACCGCUUUUGUACGGAAAGAAAAGGCUCUGGCUAAUACCUGGGGCUGAUGACGGUACCGUAAGAAUAAGCACCGGCUAACUACGUG